UUGGGUUUGGCGGCGGCGGCGGCGGUAAUGAGCAACGCCCCGUUUGCCCUAAACCUCGUCGCCUUGUCGGACCUGCUGCGGUUCCCGAGUUUCUCAAGCCCCUCAGAUGUGGCAAACACAGCCAAUCGUAUUCUGAUGGGAGGUGUGGAGUUCUCAACAUGAUUGUGGCGAAGACAAGCGAGGGAAGAGAAUCCAGUUGCUGCAGCUGCUGGGCAUCGUGUUCGUCGCCUCCGGGGAGAACAGGCAAUCCCUUGGUUCACGACGUGCACUUCGUACAUCAAAUGGAGCUUCUCUCACCCUUUGGUCGACCCAAGUUUUCGGAUAAACUGGGCAUCACCUCUGCCUCCCCCGUUUGAGCA
This is a long non-coding RNA of Hibiscus syriacus, 359 nucleotides long. RefSeq lists it as uncharacterized. Lineage: Eukaryota; Viridiplantae; Streptophyta; Magnoliopsida; Malvales; Malvaceae. The transcript is spliced from 3 exons. The record is from RefSeq and is a predicted model, not a curated record.